UUUCCGUAGGUGAACCUGCGGAAGGAUCAUUCAUAAUAAGUGUUUUAUGGCACUUUUUUAAAUCCAUAUCCACCUUGUGUGCAAUGUCAGGGUUGAUUUUUCUCUCGAGAGGAUCAACCCCAAACAUCAACUGUAUCUCAACUCUUUGUCUGAAAAAUAUUAUGAAUAAAACAAUUCAAAAUACAACUUUCAACAACGGAUCUCUUGGCUCUC
RNAcentral lists this unclassified non-coding RNA (213 nucleotides) under plant metagenome. Its description in RNAcentral is "partial contains small subunit ribosomal RNA, internal transcribed spacer 1, and 5.8S ribosomal RNA". The record is from RNAcentral.